GCCUCCUUAGCUCAGUGGUAGUAAGUAUCUCUCUGCCUCAAGAUAAAGGCUCAUAUCUAACCUUGAAAAUAGGAGCGCAUCACUAGUAAUGAUGAGGUCGCGAGUUCAAUUCUCUCAGGAGGCA
Molecule: non-coding RNA, 124 nt
Organism: Xylogone sp. PMI_703
Lineage: Eukaryota; Fungi; Ascomycota; Leotiomycetes
Source: the annotation of a GenBank genome assembly